RNAcentral lists this ribosomal RNA (406 nucleotides) under uncultured bacterium. Its description in RNAcentral is "partial 16S ribosomal RNA". It matches the Rfam family "Bacterial small subunit ribosomal RNA", at positions 30 to 526 of the family's 1533-position model. The record is from RNAcentral.
AUUGAACGCUGGCGGCAGGCCUAACACAUGCAAGUCGAGCGAGCGGCGGAUGGGUGAGUAAUGUCUGGGAAACUGCCUGAUGGAGGGGGAUAACUACUGGAAACGGUAGCUAAUACCGCAUACCAUCAGAUGUGCCCAUAUGGGAUUAGCUGGUAGGUGGGGUAACGGCUCACCUAGGCGACGAUCCCUAGCUUGUCUGAGAGGAUGACCAGCCACACUGGAACUGAGACACGGUCCAGACUCCGACGGGAGGCAGCAGUGGGGAAUAUUGCACAAUGGGCGCAAGCCGGAUGCAGCCAUGCCGCGUGUGUGAAGAAGGCCUUCGGGUUGUAAAGCACUUUCAGCGGGGAGGCGUUACCCGCAGAAGAAGCACCGGCUAACUCCGUGCCAGCAGCCGCGGUAAUUC